Molecule: ribosomal RNA, 497 nt
Filed under: uncultured bacterium
Lineage: Bacteria
Description: partial 16S ribosomal RNA
Rfam family: Bacterial small subunit ribosomal RNA
Source: RNAcentral
GAUGAACGCUGGCGGCGUGCCUAAUACAUGCAAGUCGAGCGAACGGACGAGAAGCUUGCUUUUCUGAUGUUAGCGGCGGACGGGUGAGUAACACGUGGAUAACCUACCUAUAAGACUGGGAUAACUUCGGGAAACCGGAGCUAAUACCGGAUAAUAUUUUGAACCGCAUGGUUCAAAAGUGAAGGACGGUCUUGCUGUCACUUAUAGAUGAAUCCGCGCUGCAUUAGCUAGUUGGUAAGGUAACGGCUUACCAAGGCAACGAUGCAUAGCCGACCUGAGAGGGUGAUCGGCCACACUGGAACUGAGACACGGUCCAGACUCCUACGGGAGGCAGCAGUAGGGAAUCUUCCGCAAUGGGCGAAAGCCUGACGGAGCAACGCCGCGUGAGUGAUGAAGGUCUUCGGAUCGUAAAACUCUGUUAUUAGGGAAGAACAUAUGUGUAAGUAACUGUGCACAUCUUGACGGUACCUAAUCAGAAAGCCACGGCUAACUACGUG